GAAAGGAGAGAAGGGCGCAUGAAGGAUGCCUAGGCUCUCGGAGGCGAAGAAGGACGUGACAAGCUGCGAAAAGCCGCGAUUAGGAGCAAAUAUCCGUAGAAUCGCGGAUGUCCGAAUGGGGCAACCCGCCGGAGGCGACUCCGGCAUCCAUCGAAGAUGGAGGCGAACCCGGGGAACUGAAACAUCUAAGUACCCGGAGGAAAAGAAAACAAACCAGUGAUUGCGCAAGUAGCGGCGAGCGAACGCGCAUCAGCCCAAACCGCAUACGUGGCAACGCGUAGUGCGGGGUUGUAGGACCGUCGACAAACGAACAGUCAGAGGUUAGCGGAACCGUCUGGAAAGUCGGGCCGCAGCGGGUGAAAGCCCCGUACGCGAAAACCGCUGGCCAUCGGAGGCGGCACCUGAGUAAGCCGGGACACGAGAAAUCCUGGCCGAACCCGCGGGGACCAUCCCGUAAGGCUAAAUACUACCGAGAGACCGAUAGCGAACCAGUACCGUGAGGGAAAGGUGAAAAGAACCUCGAACAGAGGAGUGAAACAGACCCUGAAAUCAUGCGCCUACAAGCGGUCGGAGCCACCGAGUGUGGUGACGGCGUGCCUUUUGCAUAAUGAUCCUACGAGUUGCCGUCGCCGGCGAGGCUAAGUGCCAGGGAGGCAUGGAGCCGGAGCGAAAGCGAGUCAGAACAUGGCGCGCAGUCGGCGGGGGCAGACGCGAAACCAAGUGAUCUACCCUUGGGCAGGUUGAAGGCGGGGUAACACCCGCUGGAGGACCGCACCGGUAAGCGUUGAAAAGCUUUCGGAUGACCUGAGGGUAGGAGUGAAAGGCCAAUCAAACUUGGAGAUAGCUCGUACUCCCCGAAAUGCAUUUAGGUGCAGCCUCGGGCCGAAUACCGCGGAGGUAGAGCGACUGAUAAGAUGCGAGGGCUUCACCGCCUAUCAAGUCUUGACAAACUCCGAAUGCCGCGGCAUGCUACCCGGGAGUGAGGGCGUGGGUGCUAAGGUCCACGUCCGAAAGAGGAACAACUCAGACCACCGGCCAAGGCCCCCAAAUACGGGCCGAGUUGAAGCCAAUAACGAGGUGGGAUUGCAAGGACAGCUAGGAUGUUGGCUUGGAAGCAGCCAUUCAUUUGAAGAGUGCGUAACAGCUCACUAGUCGAGUGAUCCCGCAUGGAUAAUAAUCGGGCAUAAGUCCGUUGCCGAAGCCGUGGAAUGCAGCGUAAUGCUGCAUUGGUAGGGGAGCAUUCCGGCAGCCGCAGAAGGUUGGGCGUGAGCCCAGCUGGAGGCACCGGAAAAGCAAAUGUAGGAAUAAGUAACGAUAAAGGGGGCGGGAAACCCCCUCGCCGUAAGACCAAGGGUUCCUGAUCAACGCUAAUCGGAUCAGGGUAAGCCGGGGCCUAAGUGGAAGCCGCAAGGCGCACACGAUGGACAAACGGUAAAGAAUCCGUUGCCCCGCAGUCCCAGUGAUGUGGAGACGGAGCAGUGACACACCCGCGUGCUGACGGAAUAGCACGUUGAACCGCGUAGGUAAACCGAGGAGAGGCAAAUCCCACCACGGUGCUGAAACGGGACAGUACGGAGCGCCCCCGGGCAAUCCGACAGCGGUGGUAACCAUACUCCCGAGAAAAUCCGCUAAACGCUAUAAAGGGCUGCGGGCCCGUACCGCAAACCGACACAGGUGGUCGGGUAGAAUAUACCAAGGCGCUCGAGAGAUUCACGGUUAAGGAACUAGGCAAAUUGACCCCGUAACUUCGGGACAAGGGGUCCCCUCCUCCGGGAGGGGCGCAGAGAAUAGGUCCAGGCAACUGUUUAACAAAAACACAGGGCUGUGCGAAGUUGAAAGAUGAAGCAUACAGCCUGACACCUGCCCGGUGCCGGAAGGUUAAGAGGAGGCGUCAUCGCAAGAGAAGCGCUGAAUUGAAGCCCCGGUAAACGGCGGCCGUAACUAUAACGGUCCUAAGGUAGCGAAAUUCCUUGUCGGGUAAGUUCCGACCUGCACGAAUGGUGUAAUGAUCUGGACACUGUCUCAACCGUGAGCUCGGUGAAAUUGUAGUAUCGGUGAAGAUGCCGAUUACCCGCAACGGGACGAAAAGACCCCGUGAACCUUUACUGCAGCUUUGCAUUGUGACCGGGUGCUCGAUGUGUAGGAUAGUCAGGAGGCAGCGAAACAGCCACGCCAGUGGUUGGGGAGCCGACGUUGAAAUACUGACCUUCGCGCAUCUGGUCUCUAACGCCCUGUAGGGCGGACAUUGCAUGGCAGGUAGUUUGACUGGGGUGGUCGCCUCCAAAAGAGUAACGGAGGCUUCUAAAGGUGCGCUCAGGCCGAUUGGUAACCGGCCGGAGAGUGUAAUGGCACAAGCGCGCUUGACUGGGAGACCAACAAGUCGAUCAGGUAGGAAACUAGAGCAUAGUGAUCCGGUGGUUCCGCAUGGAAGGGCCAUCGCUCAAAGGAUAAAAGGUACUCCGGGGAUAACAGGCUGAUCCCUCCCAAGAGCUCAUAUCGACGGAGGGGUUUGGCACCUCGAUGUCGGCUCGUCACAUCCUGGGGCUGGAGAAGGUCCCAAGGGUUGGGCUGUUCGCCCAUUAAAGUGGCACGCGAGCUGGGUUCAGAACGUCGUGAGACAGUUCGGUCUCUAUCUGUUGUGGGCGCGGGAGAUUUGCGAGGACCCGACACUAGUACGAGAGGACCGUGUUGGACGGAGCACCGGUGUACCGGUUGUGGCGCCAGCCGCACCGCCGGGUAGCCGCCUCCGGCAAGGAUAAGUGCUGAAAGCAUCUAAGCACGAAGCCCCCCUCAAGAUAAGAUCUCCACAUAAGGGCCGUCAAAGACGAUGACGUCGAUAGGUCGCAGGUAUACGGGCGGCAACGUCCUCAGCCGAGCGAUACUAAUCACCCAACCCCUUUCCGCA
RNAcentral lists this ribosomal RNA (2905 nucleotides) under human gut metagenome. RNAcentral describes it as "bacterial LSU rRNA". It matches the Rfam family "Bacterial large subunit ribosomal RNA". The record is from RNAcentral.